This 492-nucleotide ribosomal RNA is filed under the name uncultured bacterium. RNAcentral describes it as "partial 16S ribosomal RNA". It matches the Rfam family "Bacterial small subunit ribosomal RNA", at positions 29 to 507 of the family's 1533-position model. The record is from RNAcentral.
AGUGAACGCUGGCGGUAGGCCUAACACAUGCAAGUCGAACGGCAGCACAGUAAGAGCUUGCUCUUACGGGUGGCGAGUGGCGGACGGGUGAGGAAUACAUCGGAAUCUACUUUUUCGUGGGGGAUAACGUAGAGAAACUUACGCUAAUACCGCAUACGACCUACGGGUGAAAGCAGGGGAUCUUCGGACCUUGCGCGAUUGAAUGAGCCGAUGUCGGAUUAGCUAGUUGGCGGGGUAAAGGCCCACCAAGGCGACGAUCCGUAGCUGGUCUGAGAGGAUGAUCAGCCACACUGGAACUGAGACACGGGCCAGACUCCUACGGGAGGCAGCAGUGGGGAAUAUUGGACAAUGGGCGCAAGCCUGAUCCAGCCAUACCGCGUGGGUGAAGAAGGCCUUCGGGUUGUAAAGCCCUUUUGUUGGGAAAGAAAAGCAGCAGGUUAAUACCCCGCUGUUCUGACGGUACCCAAAGAAUAAGCGCCGGCUAACUUCGUG